GAGUGUUUUCCAGGACAUGCUAGUUCCAAAAGAUACUCCUUAAAAAAGAGUUCUAUAGUCAAAACGUUGGUUCCAGAAGAAGACUGUCUCAUUAUUGUUACAUCUCUGGCCCUGGAGUAGCCCCUGGCAAAUAUGUACUCAGUACAUGUUUGCGAGACGCAUGGACUUGUAGAACAGUUCCACAGCUGUCCAUCACUGAUGUUCCAUACCUAGCGAUGCGGCCCCUCGAAACGCACUGGAGAGCUGGGCAGACCAAGGAUAAUUUCACAGACUUGCCCUCAUAUCUCAUAAUCUUCGCUCACAGGACGCUGGACAUUCAAAGAAAGAAAAAGAAGUAUAGAAAAGAGAGAAAAACGUCAAGAACUCCAUCAUAAAGUCCUCUUAAUAACGCAUCUUUUUAUAAUCAUCGGGCAAUAAAUUUCUGAAUGGAC
Molecule: non-coding RNA, 431 nt
Filed under: Pan troglodytes (chimpanzee)
Lineage: Eukaryota; Metazoa; Chordata; Mammalia; Primates; Hominidae
Source: RNAcentral